This 175-nucleotide ribosomal RNA is filed under the name Heliconia lophocarpa. RNAcentral describes it as "partial 26S ribosomal RNA". It matches the Rfam family "Eukaryotic large subunit ribosomal RNA", at positions 11 to 184 of the family's 3401-position model. The record is from RNAcentral. Lineage: Eukaryota; Viridiplantae; Streptophyta; Magnoliopsida; Zingiberales; Heliconiaceae.
GUCAGGCGGGGCCACCCGCCGAGUUUAAGCAUAUAAAUAAGCGGAGGAGAAGAAACUUACGAGGAUUCCCCUAGUAACGGCGAGCGAACCGGGAUCAGCCCAGCUUGAGAAUCGGGCGGCCGCGCCGUCCGAAUUGUAGUCUGGAGAAGCGUCCUCAGCGACGGACCGGGCCCAA